RNAcentral lists this long non-coding RNA (3578 nucleotides) under Homo sapiens (human). RNAcentral's name for it is "HSALNT0022386". Lineage: Eukaryota; Metazoa; Chordata; Mammalia; Primates; Hominidae. The record is from RNAcentral.
GGGGUGUAAGCUCAGCUGUUUCCCAGGAGGUGGAGGUGCUCAUUGCUGGCCUAGGAUGGAGAAGGUGAAGGAGAAAAUCUGGCAGGAACUGCAGGAACUGCGGCCAGCAAGGAAAGCCCAUGUGAGGACAGAGAGAAGGCAGCUGUCUGCAGGACAGAAAGAGAGUCCUCACCAGAAUCCAACUCUGUUGGUGCCUUGAUCUUGGACUUCCGGCCUCCAGAACUGCACAUUUGUGAGGAAACUUCACCUUGACCAAUUUGAGGACCACUGACUUGGAAAGUAUAUUCUCUUUCAGAGCAGGAGGGAUGAACAAGAUUUGACUCCUGCAGCCUCUAGAUGGCUGCCUUAGGAUCUGGGCAAGUGCAGCCUGCCUCAGCUCCCAUCUGUGUCUACUUUACAUUCCAGUAGAACAGGGCUGUUUGCUGUUGCCUGUUCUUUCUGAUUAACCUGUACUCAUCGUGUACAUCUUUGACCAGCACCAUCCACUCCAUUAAUCUUCCUGGAGAAUCUUCAAGAGAAGUAGAAUUUACUUUCCAUGACCCCUACCACUUUGAAGAAUAUUUAGUAGUUGUUUUUUCUGGCAUGUCUUUGUCAAAAGAAUUAUUUUUUAUGCCAAAGAAACCUAAGAAGUAUCCUAAUGUCAGCACCUUCAAAUGGAAAAUGUUUCAAGAAGGCUUCUCAUCAUCAACCUGCUUUCAUGUCCAUUUUCAUGUGAAUUGUUGAUGGGAAAAUAGAAUUUCAUCACUACCGUUGGUGAAGACAUUCCUAAGAACACAGAGUUAGUGCAUGCAGUUACCUGGGGGGGUUGGGAGGGGGUGGGGGAAGAGGGCUUGCAGAACUUUAUAGCAGCCCAGGCUCACUAAGAUUUGCUAUGUCCACUUAUACACCUUAUGAAGUCCUCUAUGCCAUGGCAAGUUCUCUUGGGAGUCACACCUUCAUUUCUUGGGUCCCCUUGGGUUUUUCAGACCACCACUUAUUAGUCACAUGAUCAUUAAAAAGUAAAUGCACCUCUCUGACAUCAAUUCUUAGUUUGAGAAAUAGAAUAAUAAUUCGGACCCAGCCUACCUCAAAGGCCCAUUAUCAAGGUCAAAAAUGAUGUAUGUGAUGAGCUUUUUAAAAGUAAAAUUUAUGAAGCAAACACGAAGUAGUGAAUUGUGGUGAUAUCAACAUUUUGAUACAAAACUCACUUGGUUUAGUAAUUUGAAGAGGAUGCCAUCUAUAUCUUUUUAUAACCGGGAGCUUUUGAUACCUUUUUCCUAAACUACAAAACUCAUAGAACCUUCGUUAGCUUCUCUGUGCCCCAGCCCUUCAAUAAAUUGACAUCACAAUAGAGGUUAAAAUAAGGCAAACUCACAGUGGCCUAGAGAUACGUGUUUGUGUGUGUCUGUGUGUGUGCAUUUAAGAAGAUGCACGUGUACCUUUGACCUAGCACCUACCUGUGUUCAUACAAUUAAAAAAGAAAUAAUGACUCAUUAAGCAAACAAGUUCUAGAAAAAAAUACUCAUUUAAUACAAUCACAGUGACUUCCUCACUGUUUCCACUUCAUUGCUCCUUAUGUGAGUAAAAACAACAUGCUAAAUGGAGACUUUCAGGACCCCGUGGGACCAAUUAAUGCCACGUGACUUCCUCCCUGCCUUCCAUGAAAAUAACUAUAUUAUAAUGGUCUGUGAUAUUAAUAUCAGCUUUGGAAAAGUCAGGCAGUGACUCCAUAGGGAAGGAAGUGGCCUGUGCAAGAACUGUGGAAUGUGCAGUAUUUGACAGACUGGAGGCCACAUCUUUUUAUAAGCUACAUCACAGAGUUAAACAAGGUGGGGGCACCAACUGGGCUAGUGGGUUAAUUCAGGUUAAAAGGCCACCAGGGUAGUCUAUCUCUGAUCUUGAACUCCAAGAAAAUGUGGUUACUGGGGGGAGUUUUGGAAAUUAAAGUUCUCAGAAAUAAAACCAUUUCCAAAGCAUUAUUUUCCUCUGAAUUUCUCCAGAUUUCUGCCCACCACAGAGGCAGGAUGUAUUUUGACAACCUCUGUUUGUAUUGGAGGGUAGACCUGGGAUGAGGAGUGGUGGGUACACCUCCCAAGUGUGUUGGCAGCUUGAUGGGGUUUUCCAGUGACAGUGGAGCACAGCAGAACCAAAGGGAAUGUGAGCCACAACACUGGUAGCCAGUCCAGGCUUCCUUCAAAUGCAGUUAUAGGAAUCCCAGGCCCAUGCAACACCCAGGCCCCAUCCUAGUCCCACUCCCUGCUGGGUCCUGGAGAGAUUCAGUGUUCUCCCUGUGGCUAGGCAGAUUCUCCUCUCUAGCAUAUGGCAAUGAGCCCGUUAAUUUUCUUGGUUGUAAAUUGCUGUAGUGCAUUAACAACACUCAAGGGUGGUCCCAAAGCACAAUUGAGGAUAUUAAGUUCUCCUGGGAACAGAUGUUUAAUGGUACAUCUAAUUAUCCAGGAAAGAUUGCCUAAGACAAUGAUCUAGAUCCAAUUCCUGGACAGUGGCUAAUGGUUUGGCCAGACAGUCAGAGGCUUGGAAGGAAUAAUAUUGGAGAAUUGGUGAUGGGGAAGAUUAGGGAAGAAUGAACCCAAUGUAUGAGAAUAUUUGUGCUUCAUCUGCAUGAUCCCCCAAAGGUUCCCACUGUGGGGAAAACUUUAAAUAAUUAAGAUGAAAAAAUGACUUUUUGUUGUUGUUCCUAGAGAUGUCCAUCAGAAUCUUUCCCUGGUGCUAGACCAAUGGACUCCAGAGCAGCCAUGGUGGCAGGGAUGAAGGCUAUGCAGGAGCCUAAUGACAAGGACUUUCUCUCAUCAUGGUGACCUGCCUAGUGACUCAGCUGAAUUCCUAAUUGAUCAGGAGUAGCAGCCAGGUCUGACAACCAGUAUGACACUGUAUCAAAGAGUUCCAAUCAACUACCUGGUAGAAGCCAAUUAUAUUGAACCCUUCCAUCGUGGUAGGGGCAGAAAUUACCCUCACUGGAAUAGAUAGCUAUUCUAUAUAUAAGUUUACCAUCACUGCUCUACUGUGCUUCUACUAACACUUUCAUCAUGUUUAAGAACUCAAAUUCGUAAACAUCACAAUGGAAGUCUCAUUCUACAUUCUUAUGUUUUAUAAUCAUAUUAUUUUCUUGACAUUUAUUUUCCAAAUUCUUGAAAUAAAAUUGAAGGUGACUCAUAAUAUAAGGGUAAUGUCAUGCAAAUAAACUUUUGAAAUAAUUUAAACAAGCUGACCCAUAAUAAAAUUAAAAUUGUAAGUAGAUCCUUUAUGAGUAAGGAACUUACUUUACUGAGAAAGAAAUAAGACAAUGGGCUAAUUACCAUAGAAUUUACUGGUCUAGCCAGAAGCAAAUGACCUUAUGGAAAAACAGAAUGGUCUAUUGAAGACUUAGAUAUGGUACCCCUGGCUGCCAGCUGGCAGACAACAUCUUGCACAUUUAGGUGCUGUUCUUUAGGAUAAAGCAUUUACUUUCAUUUAGCUGUGAAUAAAUGGCACUCUUUCUUCCUAUUCUGGGAUACACAGAUUGAGAAGCCUUGGGAAAAAAAUAUAAGGCCACCAGUCAAAAUUAUAUCUAAUUAUCCACUAUUAAAAUUUUGCAUCCUGGG